ACAUGGUGGCCUCUCUUGGACAAUUAGCAGCCUCAGCCGCUUCCCUGCCCUCAGGAUCCUCCACUCCCGAGGAUAUAUUUGCCGCAAUUUUACAGAGUCUUCUGCUUUACUGGCCAGAAGUCAUGUUAACUAUGGAGUCAAAGGAGAUGUGGCAGUUCAAAUUAACUCACCUGAUUCAAAGCAUGCUAGCCACUUGCAAGACUCCUCAAGAAGUAGUACAUAUAUCACAGGCAGCACGGAGAACAUUUGAGAAACCUGAGAAAUCCACAAAGCCUGUUGUGGCUGCCAUCGGUGGAUCCUGCUUGGGAGGAGGACUUGAGCUUGCCAUUUCAUGCCAAUACAGAAUAGCAACAAAAGAUAGAAAAACAGUAUUAGGCACCCCUGAAAUCUUGCUGGGGCUCUUACCAGGAGCAGGAGGCACACAAAGGCUGCCCAAAAUGGUGGGUGUUCCUGCUGCUUUUGACAUGAUACUUACUGGCAGAAACAUUCGUGCAGACAGAGUGAAGAAAAUGGUACUGGUUGACCAACUGGUGGAACCCCUGGGACAAAGAUUAAAACCUGCAGAAGAAUGAACAAUUGAAUAUCUAGAAGAAGUUGCAGUUUCUUUUGCCAAAGGACUAGCUGAUAAGACAAUCUACCCAAAGAGAGACAAGGGAUUGAUGGAAAAGUUGACAGCGUAUGCCGUAUGCCCUGACUAUUCCAUUUGUCAGGCAACAGAUUUACAAAAAGGUGGAAGAAAAAGUGCAAAAGCAGACCAAAGGCCUUUAUCCUGCACCUCUGAAAAUAAUCGAUGUGGUUAAAAACUGGAAUCGAACAAGGGACUGAUGCUGGUUAUCUCUCUGAAUCUCAGAAAUUUGGAGAGCUUGCAAUGACCAAAGAAUCAAAGGCCUUGAUGGGACUUUACCAUGGUCAGGUCCUGUGCAAGAAGAAUAAAUUUGGAGUUCACAGAAGGAAGUUAAGAAUCUAGCUAUUCUUGGUGCAGGGCUGAUGGGAGCAGGCAUCGCCCAAGUCUCUGUAGAUAAAGGGCUAAAGACUAUUCUUAAAGACGCUACACUACCUGGGCUUGGCCGAGGAUGGCAGCAAGUGUUCAAAGGAUUGAAUGAUAAAGUGAAGAAGAAAGCUCUAACAUCAUUUGAAAGGAACGCCAUCUUCAGCAACUUGACUGGGCAGCUGGAUUACCAAGGUUUUGAAAAAGCCGACAUGGUGAUUGAAGCUGUCUUCGAAGACCUUAGUCUUAAGCACAGAGUGCUGAAGGAAAUUGAAGUGGUGAUUCCAGAUCACUGUGUCUUUGCCAGUAACACAUCUAUGCUCCCAAUCAGUGAAAUUGCUGCUGUCAGCAAAAGACCUGAAAAGGAGAUUGGCAUGCACUACUUCUCUCCUGUGGACAAGUUAUCAUAACCCAGAAAACUUCCAAGGACACAACUGCCUCAGCUGUAGCCGUAGGCCUCAAGCAGGGGAAGCUCAUCAUUGUGGUUAAGGAUGGACCUGGCUUCUACACCACCAGGUGUCUCGCACCCAUGAUGUCUGAAGUCAUCCGAAUCCUCCAGGAAGGAGUUGACCCUAAGAAGCUGAAUUCCCUGACCACAAGCUUUGACUUUCCUGUGGGUGCUGUCACACUGGUGGAUGAAGUUGGUGUAGAUGUCGCAAAACAUGUGGCAGAAGAUCUAGGUAAAGCCUUUGGGGAGCGCUUUGGAGGUGGAAGCCUGAAGCUCCUGACACAGAUGGUGUCCAAGGGCUUCCUGGGUCGCAAGUCUGGGAAGGGCUUUUACAUCUAUCAGGAGGGUGUGAAGAGUAAGAAUCUGAAUUCUGACAUGGAUAGUAUUUUGGCAAGUCUGAAGAUGCCACCUAAGUCUGAAGUCUCCUCUGACGAAGACAUCCAGUACCGGCUGGUGACAAGAUUUGUGAAUGAGGCUGUCAUGUGCCUGCAGGAAGGGAUCUUGGCCAUGCCUGCAGAGGGAGACAUUGGAGCAGUCUUUGGGCUCGGUUUCCCCCCUUGUCUUGGAGGUGCCUUUCCGCUUCAUGGAUCUCUAUGGUGCUCAGAAGGUUGUGGACCGGCUCAAGAAGUAUGAGGCUGCCUAUGGAAAUCAGUUCACCCCGUGCCAGCUGCUCAUUGACCACGCUACCAGCCCCAGUAAGAAGUUCUACCAGUGA
RNA transcript from Carlito syrichta (Philippine tarsier), 2151 nucleotides. It is a transcript of the gene named trifunctional enzyme subunit alpha, mitochondrial-like, with no coding region annotated. NCBI's taxonomy places the organism in Eukaryota, Metazoa, Chordata, Mammalia, Primates, Tarsiidae. The transcript has 2 exons. The record is from RefSeq and is a predicted model, not a curated record.